UGAAAAGUGGCCUUAAAGUGUGGGAUUUCUACUUGCCACACGGUAAGAAACUCUUCCUGAUGACAGAAGGGUAUGAAGAUUUGUAAUAGCUUGAAUUUUAAGUGUCUUAUGUCUACGCUGGAUAGAAGAAGAAUUAAGAGACUUAUUGAUUCGAGGAAGAUUUAGACCAGUCACUGAGGAGGAACUAGCAGGAAGAGAUUUUCAAGGCAGGUCCUUGGGCUGUGUGUGGCAAUUGGGCACGUACCUGUUGGAAAUGCUUCAGGCAGAGUGACGUGGGUUGGCAUGUUACCUGAGCAGAGGACUCUAAACUGAGCACACUGUGCUGCUUUCGAGAGGGGCCAAAAGUCUGGAAGAAAGAUAAGCCUUGAGUUUACUUAAUACAUUCAAAUUAACUGGAAAAAAUGUUCCUAUUUAGUAACUGUAUUUGCACAAUGUCUUAAAAUGUAAACUCCUGUGAAACAUGCAUGAAAGGGUAUGAAGAAGUUAGACUAGCUACAUAUACUCAAGAAAAACACGUGUAAGUCCUGACUCUAUGAUGAUGUGCUCUUGUUAAACCUGAGCUGACUUACCAGAGGGACGUAUGAGAUGGAG
RNAcentral lists this long non-coding RNA (591 nucleotides) under Gallus gallus (chicken). The record is from RNAcentral. Lineage: Eukaryota; Metazoa; Chordata; Aves; Galliformes; Phasianidae.